Parus major (Great Tit) is the source of this 1301-nucleotide long non-coding RNA. RefSeq lists it as uncharacterized. The transcript has 2 exons. The record is from RefSeq and is a predicted model, not a curated record. NCBI's taxonomy places the organism in Eukaryota, Metazoa, Chordata, Aves, Passeriformes, Paridae.
CGCCGGCUUUCUCCUCCCGCCCCGCCUCAGCAGGCCCCGCCCGCGGCGAGCGGGACUCGUGCAAAAGGUGCGCUUCACACGGCCCCGGCCCCGCGCGCGCCCGGGGGCGGGGCUCCCCCUGCGGGCCGCGGGGGCGGGGCCCGGCGUGAGGGGCGCUGUGACGUCACGCGUCCUGAGCGGGGAUUUCGGGUGGGAUUUGCGCUUUUUCUGGAACCAACAAACACAGCAGCAAGAGGAAGUGUGGAAGAAUAUUCCAUGAGCAGAAGAUGGAGAGGAGACAGCAGCCUUUUUGCACCUCUUUGCAGCUGUAGAGAUGUAGCUGUGUGUGUGGGCCCAUGGAGGCAGGAAGAGAACUGGUGCCCUGAGAAGGAAGACUUAGCCAGAAUGCAAAAUAUUUUUCCUAUACUUGGAGAUUUCAAAGGGAUUGUGAUUCAGGAUCUGUGCAAAGGUUCCUGACUCCAUUUCAGCAGUAAAAUGACAGAAGGAGCUCACAAAUCCACAAUGAAAGCGUUAUCAAUGAGAAUAACUGAGAGCAGUGAUUCAGGACAGGCUUCCCCUGUGCUUGGCAGCAUCCCCGCGAGCCCACACCUGGAUGUCACACUGUUAUCCUUGUGUGCCAUCCCCUCACCUUUGCUUAACCUUCCUCACAUGGCAGAGCUGGCUUGAGCACCACAACCACUGCUGUGCUGACCUAUGACCCUGAACCCUGUUUUCUGUGAGAGUAUCCUUGUGUCAAAAUCCGGGUGUGCUACACACUGGACGUAGCGGUAGCAGCCCACAGAGAAUUCUUUAAUGACCAUUGUAAAGACAGUCAGCAAUUGGAUUACUAUAACAUUCUCCUCACCUGCCUGGCUUCCCGUUGCCCAAACAUCACUCACUAAGAAGUAAAUAACUGGGAAGCUGAAUGGCAAUUACAUGGAAAUGGAACAUGCCCAUGUUGUGUCGUCAUCACUCCCACACAGGGCAUUAGUUAACAAGGAAGAAUUGCUCAAAUUUAGGAUAUAUGGUUCAAAGAAACUGGUACAGCUCAAGCCUCCUUUAAUUCCUGCAGGUGAAGUGGGUCACCAUUUUGCAGGGAUUGCUGUUAAUCCAAUGGAAUUUAGCUAGGAAGGAAAGGAGGACAACAAGUUUGGUGUCUCUCAUUGGCUCGGCUUCAGGAAUUUGUGAAACUGGGUUUUAGUUGCCACUGGGGUGUCAUCAUAAUUUUCUUGAUUAAAGGUAUUUAGUCCCCUCCUGAGAGAAAUAAACAGGAUAUCAAUAUCAGUAGAACCCUGAUGAAUAAAACUUCGUUAUAAACUGUG